This 253-nucleotide ribosomal RNA is filed under the name uncultured bacterium. RNAcentral describes it as "partial 16S ribosomal RNA". It matches the Rfam family "Bacterial small subunit ribosomal RNA", at positions 524 to 776 of the family's 1533-position model. The record is from RNAcentral.
UCCGUAGGUGGCAAGCGUUAUCCGGAAUUACUGGGCGUAAAGAGCACGCAGGCGGUCUUUUAAGUUUGACGUGAAAGCUCCCGGCUUAACUGGGAGAGGUCGUUGAAUACUGGAAGACUUGAGGAAAUGAGAGGGGUGUAGAAUUCCUGGUGUAGUGGUGGAAUGCGUAGAUAUCAGGAGGAAUACCAGUGGCGAAAGCGGCACCCUAGCAUUGUUCUGACGCUCAUGUGCGAAAGCGUGGGGAGCGAACGGG